Molecule: long non-coding RNA, 285 nt
Organism: Arabidopsis thaliana (thale cress)
Lineage: Eukaryota; Viridiplantae; Streptophyta; Magnoliopsida; Brassicales; Brassicaceae
Product: other RNA
Exons: 1
Source: RefSeq
CUCUCCUGCAAAGAGGAAGACGGUGGAAACGAUCUCUCAUGGCCUCGACAUAAGGAAUUUUAAUAACAAGGCAGUGGAGAUGAACUAGACUUGUAGAUGGUUGAUGAUGAUAACGUUCUCUCUUGGUCCCAACAAGCAAUAUGUUGAGGAGUAAUUGGAGGCUAAUAGGAGAAUCAGAAGAUGGUUUAUACCAUAUCAACAAAAAUGGGGUUUAAGGAAAACCAAGAUCAAUGACAUCUCUUUCUAUAUAAGAGUUUCGAUCAAUUCGAAGGUUUUGUGAUGUAA